This 79-nucleotide unclassified non-coding RNA is filed under the name Chryseobacterium formosense. Its description in RNAcentral is "Flavo-1 RNA". Lineage: Bacteria; Pseudomonadati; Bacteroidota; Flavobacteriia; Flavobacteriales; Weeksellaceae. The record is from RNAcentral.
ACGCAGCCCGGCUUGAACGGAGCUCUUUUUGUGAGGAGGUACGACGAGCAAAAAAGCGGGAGUGGAAGACGGAUUAAGC